RNAcentral lists this non-coding RNA (27 nucleotides) under Mus musculus (house mouse). Lineage: Eukaryota; Metazoa; Chordata; Mammalia; Rodentia; Muridae. The record is from RNAcentral.
UGUCCUUUACAAGGCUGCUCACUAAGU